This 22-nucleotide unclassified non-coding RNA is filed under the name Mus musculus (house mouse). RNAcentral describes it as "oocyte_clustered_small_RNA11049". Lineage: Eukaryota; Metazoa; Chordata; Mammalia; Rodentia; Muridae. The record is from RNAcentral.
GCGCGCAGAUGCACACUCUCGG